AUGUACUUCCUCAAACGCUUAGCGGAAUGGAAAAAAUCAUCCCUACUAGGGCAUUAGGACGAGCGCCUCCCUACCAACAUAGAGGAAACAAUCGACUCCUACCCUCAAAGUUUUAUUAGGGAUAUGGGUGAUGUUGAAUUUAUGUACCUAAUUUGUUUAAUUAUAACGAUCCAAAGGGAACUCUAUUUUUUUUUUUUUUUUGCUUUUUAUAAAAUGUAAGACCUUUACGUUUGUAGAAUAAACAGUUUUCUCUCAUCUUUAUUCAUGUCGUUAUCUUUGAAUAAACGUAUGCCCUUUUCAUCAAGCUAUGUGAGUUAAGUGUUGUCUUGAUUAUAAAUACACUUCGCUACCAAAUCGGACGGCAGUGAAGUGAUCACACGUGUGUUGUAGUUUGGAGCCGGCAGUUGGUGUCUUGGUGAGCUGUACCAGAAAUCUUUACAAACGUGCUAAAAAGUAUAGUAAGCUUGAAUAGGCGGCCAAAUGGGAACAUUCCUAGCACAAAAAAUUUGCAAAUCUUAAUGAGAAGGAAUAAUUCUAUCCGGGCAUCAAUAUUUUAUGAUAUGAGACCAAUUUAGUAGAAUUUUAAUUCAAAAUUACAAGUUGUUAUGCAAAGAAUCAGUAUAUAAUCCAAAGAAUUUAAGCUUGUCAAUAUAAUUAAGCAUCCUGCACUGACUCCCAUCUAAUUGACCAAGGGAAAAUAAAAAAUGAAAAUAAAAGGAAGACGUAUAGACUACUGUGAAUGUUUGGUAAAUAGUACUGGAUAGUAAAUUUUAGUUUAAAAUUGAUCGUUGUUCACCUCAAAAUCGGUUGAUUAGUCAUCAUGACUUAUUGUUUAGACUAACCAAUCCUUCAUAUGACGCAUGCUAUUAAAAAAAAUAAAAAAUCAGGGUAUGUUUUAAACGCAAUAUUAACAACAUUGUGAGGAAUAAGCAGUGUAAUCUUAACCCUUUUUUUCUUCUCAAAUAUUAUUCAAUUGGGUCGAAUUUUACAUGCCAAACAUGCUCAGGUCAUGUACUUCCUCAAACGCUUAGCGGAAUGGAAAAAAUCAUCCCUACUAGGGCAUUAGGACGAGCGCCUCCCUACCAACAUAGAGGAAACAAUCGACUCCUACCCUCAAAGUUUUAUUAGGGAUAUGGGUGAUGUUGAAUUUAUGUACCUAAUUUGUUUAAUUAUAACGAUCCAAAGGGAACUCUAUUUUUUUUUUUUUUUGCUUUUUAUAAAAUGUAAGACCUUUACGUUAGUAGAAUAAACUCUCAUCUUUAUUCA
RNAcentral lists this long non-coding RNA (1266 nucleotides) under Olea europaea (common olive). RNAcentral describes it as "long non-coding RNA (OEUR_LNC002648)". The record is from RNAcentral. Lineage: Eukaryota; Viridiplantae; Streptophyta; Magnoliopsida; Lamiales; Oleaceae.